CCAAUAGCGUAUAUUAAAGUUGUUACCGUUAAAAAGCUCGUAGUUGAAUUUUGGGAUCAAUGGGUUGGUCAUGCCCUCGGUAUGUACUGAUUUCAUUGGUUCUCACCUUCUAAGGAACCAUGAUGUCAUUCGUUUGAUGUUGUGGGGAAUUAGGACUGUUACCUUGAAAAAAUUAGAGUGUUUAAAGCAGGCUAACGUUUGAAUACAUUAGCAUGGAAUAAUGAAAUAGGACAUCCGAUUCUAUUUUGUUGGUUUUUAGGAUCGAUGUAAUGAUUAAUAGGGAUAGUUGGAGGCAUUAGUAUUCAAUUGUCAGAGGUGAAAUUCUUGGAUUUAUUGAAGACUAACUACUGCGAAAGCAUUUGCCAAGGAUGUUUUCAUUAAUCAAGAACGAAAGUUAGAGGAUCGAAGACGAUCAGAUACCGUCGUAGUCUUAACCAUAAACUAUGCCGACUAGGGAUCGGAUGAUGCUUAUUUUUAAUGACUCAUUCGGCACCUUACG
This 499-nucleotide ribosomal RNA is filed under the name uncultured Glomeromycotina. RNAcentral describes it as "partial small subunit ribosomal RNA". It matches the Rfam family "Eukaryotic small subunit ribosomal RNA", at positions 591 to 1092 of the family's 1831-position model. Lineage: Eukaryota; Fungi; Glomeromycota. The record is from RNAcentral.